UUCAAUAAUAUGUCUAAAGCCUAGAGCCUUC
RNAcentral lists this non-coding RNA (31 nucleotides) under Mus musculus (house mouse). Lineage: Eukaryota; Metazoa; Chordata; Mammalia; Rodentia; Muridae. The record is from RNAcentral.